Molecule: ribosomal RNA, 253 nt
Filed under: uncultured bacterium
Lineage: Bacteria
Description: partial 16S ribosomal RNA
Rfam family: Bacterial small subunit ribosomal RNA
Source: RNAcentral
UACAGAGGUCCCAAGCGUUGUUCGGAUUCACUGGGCGUAAAGGGUGCGUAGGCGGUCGGGUAAGUCUGAUGUGAAAUCUCACAGCUUAACUGUGAAACUGCAUUGGAUACUAUCCGGCUAGAGGAAUGGAGGGGAGACUGGAAUACUUGGUGUAGCAGUGAAAUGCGUAGAUAUCAAGUGGAACACCAGUGGCGAAGGCGGCUCACUGGCCCGAUACUGACGCUGAGGCACGAAAGCGUGGGGAGCAAACAGG